CAGGGUGACAGCCCCGUACACAAAAAUGCACAUGCUGUGAGCUCGAUGAGUAGGGCGGGACACGUGGUAUCCUGUCUGAAUAUGGGGGGACCAUCCUCCAAGGCUAAAUACUCCUGACUGACCGAUAGUGAACCAGUACCGUGAGGGAAAGGCGAAAAGAACCCCGGCGAGGGGAGUGAAAAAGAACCUGAAACCGUGUACGUACAAGCAGUGGGAGCACAGAGCAAUCUGUGUGACUGCGUACCUUUUGUAUAAUGGGUCAGCGACUUAUAUUCUGUAGCAAGGUUAACCGAAUAGGGGAGCCGAAGGGAAACCGAGUCUUAACUGGGCGUUAAGUUGCAGGGUAUAGACCCGAAACCCGGUGAUCUAGCCAUGGGCAGGUUGAAGGUUGGGUAACACUAACUGGAGGACCGAACCGACUAAUGUUGAAAAAUUAGCGGAUGACUUGUGGCUGGGGGUGAAAGGCCAAUCAAACCGGGAGAUAGCUGGUUCUCCCCGAAAGCUAUUUAGGUAGCGCCUCGUGAAUUCAUCUCCGGGGGUAGAGCACUGUUUCGGCAAGGGGGUCAUCCCGACUUACCAACCCGAUGCAAACUGCGAAUACCGGAGAAUGUUAUCACGGGAGACACACGGCGGGUGCUAACGUCCGUCGUGAAGAGGGAAACAACCCAGACCGCCAGCUAAGGUCCCAAAGUCAUGGUUAAGUGGGAAACGAUGUGGGAAGGCCCAGACAGCCAGGAUGUUGGCUUAGAAGCAGCCAUCAUUUAAAGAAAGCGUAAUAGCUCACUGGUCGAGUCGGCCUGCGCGGAAGAUGUAACGGGGCUAAACCAUG
This 829-nucleotide ribosomal RNA is filed under the name Escherichia coli. RNAcentral describes it as "partial 23S ribosomal RNA". It matches the Rfam family "Bacterial large subunit ribosomal RNA", at positions 360 to 1191 of the family's 2925-position model. The record is from RNAcentral. Lineage: Bacteria; Pseudomonadati; Pseudomonadota; Gammaproteobacteria; Enterobacterales; Enterobacteriaceae.